Molecule: transfer RNA, 92 nt
Filed under: Gelidium gabrielsonii
Lineage: Eukaryota; Rhodophyta; Florideophyceae; Gelidiales; Gelidiaceae
Description: tRNA-Ser
Rfam family: tRNA
About the family: Transfer RNA (tRNA) molecules are approximately 80 nucleotides in length. Their secondary structure includes four short double-helical elements and three loops (D, anti-codon, and T loops).
Source: RNAcentral
GGAGAGGUGGCUGAGCGGUCGAAAGCGGCAGAUUGCUAAUCUGUUGUAUGUAUUUUAUUCAUACCGAGGGUUCGAAUCCCUUCCUCUCCUUA